Molecule: long non-coding RNA, 1017 nt
Organism: Mus musculus (house mouse)
Lineage: Eukaryota; Metazoa; Chordata; Mammalia; Rodentia; Muridae
Product: RIKEN cDNA 9630013D21 gene
Exons: 5
Source: RefSeq, marked validated
CCCAGUUUCCUUCCCUGAGCUUUAGGACGGGUCCCGCCCGGGGCUUGGAAGCCCACAACCCUGCGGCAGCAAAAGGCAAAGGGCGGGAGGAGAGCUACAAAGGAGGCCGGUGGCCGCAGCCAGAGUCAGCCCCCAGCCGUGGGUAACCUUGGAGGCGCCCUCGAUAGACAUUAAAAUAACAGCUUGGUCUCGGCCAGCAAGUGAGCAAAGGUUAUCCCAGCUACCACAGCACCUGCAGAAGCACAAGUGGAACUCACACAUUUUGCUUCCCGUGUUCUAAAAUGGAUUCUGAGCCAUCCAGAGAAAUCCGCACAGAGGGGAACCUGAGAACAGAGGUGUACAUAUUAAAAAUUACACAGGUGAGCUCCUUUUCACUGAUGAUCCAGAGAGGAUGUGAGUUAAAAUCUUAGAACCGAAAGCACCGAACAGCUCCUACUUCUGCCUGAUUCUCUUGAAAGACCUUGUAGCAUAAUCUAAGGUCAGCAAAUGAAGUUUCUGGCUACCAACAUAAAAGAACUUUAAGAAUCAGUUCCCUGUAGGGAAAAAUAACAUCUCAAAAUAAAAGGAUGGAAAUAGCACACAUUUUUUUAAGCAGAAAAUAUUAUACAGAGGAUCAAGCAACAGAAUAUACUGAAGAAAAAUAAGAUCAAAGCAUUGGACAUAAAAAACAACCUCCAGAAUGACAAUGAUAUUAAAUCAGCUAACAGAAAUGUCACCUCUCACAAAUUCACAAAAUUCAUUUACUGAUUUGAAGAAAAGGAUUUCCAAGAAAAACUAUUUAAAUCUCCUUCCUUUAGAUCAAAAGAUUACUGGAAAGCAACAUGAAUAUCCGGAAAAAAAAAAAUCCAGUGGUCUCUGUGUGGGUCUCUGACAGCAAUUUUUUAAAGAUUUCUGAGAUUGUUUCAAUGUAAUUGUGCAUAUAUUAGCAUUUUGAAAAGGUUCUCCAUAAAACCUUGGAUUAUACAGAAUUGUGUCAUCAUUUGCAGACUAAUAAAUUAUGUACACAUAAGAGACAUA